UGUCGGCUCUUCCUAUCAUUGUGAAGCAGAAUUCACCAAGCGUUGGUUUGUUAACCCACUAAUAGGGAACGUGAGCUGGAAUUAGACCGUCGUGAGACAGGUU
RNAcentral lists this non-coding RNA (103 nucleotides) under Anolis carolinensis (green anole). RNAcentral describes it as "Eukaryotic large subunit ribosomal RNA". It matches the Rfam family "Eukaryotic large subunit ribosomal RNA", at positions 2882 to 2984 of the family's 3401-position model. The record is from Rfam by way of RNAcentral. Lineage: Eukaryota; Metazoa; Chordata; Lepidosauria; Squamata; Anolidae.